CGUAGGAAUCUACCCAGUAGCGGGGGAUAAGCCAGAGAAAUUUGGUCUAAUACCGCAUACGCCCUUCGGGGAAAGCAGGGGAUCUUCGGACCUUGCACUAUUGGAUGAGCCUGCGUGAGAUUAGCUAGUUGGUGAGGUAAUGGCUCACCAAGGCGACGAUCUCUAGCUGGUCUGAGAGGAUGAUCAGCCACACUGGAACUGAGACACGGUCCAGACUCCUACGGGAGGCAGCAGUGGGGAAUAUUGCACAAUGGGCGCAAGUGAUGCAGCCAUGCCGCGUGUGUGAAGAAGGCCCUAGGGUUGUAAAGCACUUUCAGCAGUGAGGAAAGGUUAGUAGUUAAUACCUGCUAGCUGUGACGUUAACUGCAGAAGAAGCACCGGCUAACUCCGUGCCAGCAGCCGCGGUAAUACGGAGGGUGCGAGCGUUAAUCGGAAUUACUGGGCGUAAAGCGCGCGUAGGUGGAUUGGUCAGUCAGAUGUGAAAGCCCAGGGCUCAACCUUGGAACUGCACCUGAUACUGCCAAUCUAGAAUACGGUAGAGGGUAGUGGAAUUUCCUGUGUAGCGGUGAAAUGCGUAGAUAUAGGAAGGAACACCAGUGGCGAAGGGACUACCUGGACCGAUAUUGACACUGAGGUGCGAAAGGUGGGGAGCAAACAGGAUUAGAUACCCUGGUAGUCCACGCCGUAAACGAUGUCUACUAGCCGUUGGGGGACUUGAUCUUUUAGUGGCGCAGUAACGCGAUAAGUAGACCGCCUGGGGAGUACGGCCGCAAGUUAAAACUCAAUGAAUUGACGGGGGCCCGCACAAGCGUGGAGCAUGUGGUUUAAUUCGAAGCAACGCAAGAACCUUACCAACUCUUGACAUCCAGAGAACUUAGC
This 879-nucleotide ribosomal RNA is filed under the name uncultured bacterium. RNAcentral's name for it is "bacterial SSU rRNA". It matches the Rfam family "Bacterial small subunit ribosomal RNA", at positions 116 to 1001 of the family's 1533-position model. The record is from RNAcentral.